This 50-nucleotide non-coding RNA is filed under the name Plasmodium falciparum 3D7. The record is from RNAcentral. Lineage: Eukaryota; Apicomplexa; Aconoidasida; Haemosporida; Plasmodiidae.
CACCAAACACAUUUUGAAGUUUACAUCGAUCAGCUUUUAUUAACAUUGGU